Humulus lupulus (European hop) is the source of this 263-nucleotide long non-coding RNA. RefSeq lists it as uncharacterized. The transcript is spliced from 2 exons. The record is from RefSeq and is a predicted model, not a curated record. NCBI's taxonomy places the organism in Eukaryota, Viridiplantae, Streptophyta, Magnoliopsida, Rosales, Cannabaceae.
UUUUAAACAACCCAACCAAUGAUGUUAACAAGGAGGAGUGGAAGCAGAUCUGUCAGCUAUUUACAAGUCCACAAUUUAUUGCGCACUCCAUAAAGAAUAAGGAAAAUCGGAAGAAACAAGAGUAUUCUACAACGUAGGGUACAAAAUCGCUGGCAGCCGUCCGUUUUGAAAAAACGAACCCGGACCUCAUUGAGUCAUGGAAGGAUUAUCAUUGGAAGAAAUCAACAAAUGAUUUCGUGAACGAUGAUGCUCGCCAAGAUUAU